Molecule: ribosomal RNA, 253 nt
Filed under: uncultured bacterium
Lineage: Bacteria
Description: partial 16S ribosomal RNA
Rfam family: Bacterial small subunit ribosomal RNA
Source: RNAcentral
UACGUAGGAGGCGAGCGUUGUCCGGAUUUACUGGGCGUAAAGCGCGCGCAGGCGGCAUGGCAAGUAAGGUGUGAAAUCUCCCUGCCUAACGGGGAGGGUGCAUUUUAGACUGCCAAGCUAGAGUACGGCAGAGGGGGAUGGAAUUCCGCGUGUAGCAGUGAAAUGCGUAGAUAUGCGGAGGAACACCGAUGGCGAAGGCAAUCCCCUGGGCCUGUACUGACGCUCAUGCACGAAAGCGUGGGGAGCAAACAGG